Amphiprion ocellaris (clown anemonefish) is the source of this 848-nucleotide long non-coding RNA. RefSeq lists it as uncharacterized. NCBI's taxonomy places the organism in Eukaryota, Metazoa, Chordata, Actinopteri, Pomacentridae. The record is from RefSeq and is a predicted model, not a curated record. The transcript has 2 exons.
GGAGCUGUUGAACUGUAUUAGUGUUUUAUGCCAGUGUUAUCACAAGUUGACACUAGGGGGAGCUAGUUGGCUGGACGACACUAAUCGGCCAGGCAAUACUCCCAGCAUUCCUUGGUUGUUGUGUCGUUCCAAGAGCGGUGGCUGCUCAUUAUUUUGGACAUGUUCCUGCUGUGUCAAACUGAGUUCAGACUGAAUGUUUAACAACAGUUGGCUUCGACCCUACUGUCCGGGACUGAGGGCACCGUCGUCAGAUUCAUUGGUCAGAUUUCUGGUAAGGAGUGGAUUUUUGGACAGUUCAGCAUCCAGCAGAACACCCAUCGAAGGAUUCGUCCAUCAGGAGACCAAGAUUCCAGUUAACUGGGUGGCGAGCCAACCCGUGGAAAAAUUGAGAGACCAAGAGGAGGAGGAUCGCUUCUGCAGAAGAAUUACUGCGCUCAUGGUGCGGUAGGACAGAAAAAACACACACAUACACCUGGAUUGGGCCCCAGCGACCGAUCCUCUGACUAACACCAAAAAGACUGGACUCAGACACUUCUAUUUUUUUGUCAUUGUGCGCACUUUAUUAUUUUUUUUUUAUUGUACUGUUGUAAUGUUGUUGUGCAGCUAAUCUGCACUAAUUGUCCUUAUUACACCUAUUUUGGCAAAUCCAUUCUGUUUGUGUCUCCUUACUGAUGCUCAGACCUCAGGCUCCAAGCGCCCUAGCCUCUGAUGCUGGUCCAACUCUAAUAUAUUUAUGGUUUUGAUGCAAAAAAGUUGUUACACUCAGUUGUGUUGAGAUCAGGUGACUGACUUGGACAUUCAAGAAUAUUCCACUUCUUUGCUUUAAUAAAGUCCUGGGUUUCUUUGGC